RNAcentral lists this long non-coding RNA (300 nucleotides) under Lathyrus oleraceus (garden pea). RNAcentral's name for it is "Pisum sativum (pea) long non-coding RNA (PSAT_LNC023788)". The record is from RNAcentral. Lineage: Eukaryota; Viridiplantae; Streptophyta; Magnoliopsida; Fabales; Fabaceae.
UGAAGAAAAUAUUUCAUAAAUAAAAAAAGAAGAGAGUCAAAGUGCAAAAACAUGUUCAAAAUAUUUGAGGAGACAAAACAAAAGGAUUUGCUAAAUCCUAAAGCCUAAGGUUUUUGCAUCAGAAUCUCUAGGAUAGUUGUGAGAUCAGAACCCAUGACAUAUUGCCUAGUAAUCAGAACCUUCAUUUAAACAUCCAUCUCUUCUUGCUUAGUAUACAUGACCUUUUGAAUGACAGCUUCAUAAGACAAUUUCUCCUCUAAAUGCACAUGCUUCUGAUUGGAAGAAGUUACAUACUCAUAU